RNAcentral lists this ribosomal RNA (454 nucleotides) under uncultured bacterium. Its description in RNAcentral is "bacterial SSU rRNA". It matches the Rfam family "Bacterial small subunit ribosomal RNA", at positions 340 to 786 of the family's 1533-position model. The record is from RNAcentral.
UACGGAAGGCAGCAGUGGGGAAUAUUGCACAAUGGGCGCAAGCCUGAUGCAGCCAUGCCGCGUGUAUGAAGAAGGCCUUCGGGUUGUAAAGUACUUUCAGUCGUGAGGAAGGUGUUAAGGUUAAUAACCUUAGCAAUUGACGUUAGCGACAGAAGAAGCACCGGCUAACUCCGUGCCAGCAGCCGCGGUAAUACGGAGGGUGCGAGCGUUAAUCGGAAUUACUGGGCGUAAAGGGCACGCAGGCGGUUAAUUAAGUUGGAUGUGAAAUCCCCGGGCUUAACCUGGGAAUGGCAUUCAAGACUGGUUAGCUAGAGUCUUGUAGAGGGGGUAGAAUUCCAUGUGUAGCGGUGAAAUGCGUAGAUAUCUGGAGGAAUACCUGUGGCGAAAGCGGCCUCCUAAACGAAUACUGACACUGAGGUGCGAAAGCGUGGGGAGCAAACAGGGAUUAGAUACC